UAAUACGGAGGGUGCAAGCGUUAUCCGGAUUUACUGGGUUUAAAGGGUGUGUAGGCGGACUUUUAAGUCCGUGGUGAAAUCUCCGGGCUCAACCCGGAAACUGCCAUGGAUACUAUUGGUCUUGAAUGUUGUGGAGGUGGGCGGAACGGGUCAUGUAGCGGUGAAAUGCUUAGAGAUGACCCGGAACACCGAUUGCGAAGGCAGCCCACUACGCAACUAUUGACGCUGAGGCACGAAAGCGUGGGGAUCAAACAGGAUUAGAUACCCUGGUAGUCCACGCCCUAAACGAUGAUUACUCGACAUCAGCGAUAUGACUGUUGGUGUCUGAGCGAAAGCAUUAAGUAAUCCACCUGGGAAGUACGAUCGCAAGAUUG
RNAcentral lists this ribosomal RNA (374 nucleotides) under uncultured bacterium. RNAcentral describes it as "bacterial SSU rRNA". It matches the Rfam family "Bacterial small subunit ribosomal RNA", at positions 521 to 896 of the family's 1533-position model. The record is from RNAcentral.